GCGGCAGGCUUAACACAUGCAAGUCGAGCGCCCCGCAAGGGGAGCGGCAGACGGGUGAGUAACGCGUGGGAAUCUACCCUUUUCUACGGAAUAACGCAGGGAAACUUGUGCUAAUACCGUAUACGCCCUUCGGGGGAAAGAUUUAUCGGAGAAGGAUGAGCCCGCGUUGGAUUAGCUAGUUGGUGGGGUAAAGGCCUACCAAGGCGACGAUCCAUAGCUGGUCUGAGAGGAUGAUCAGCCACAUUGGGACUGAGACACGGCCCAAACUCCUACGGGAGGCAGCAGUGGGGAAUAUUGGACAAUGGGCGCAAGCCUGAUCCAGCCAUGCCGCGUGAGUGAUGAAGGCCCUAGGGUUGUAAAGCUCUUUCACCGGUGAAGAUAAUGACGGUAACCGGAGAAGAAGCCCCGGCUAACUUCGUGCCAGCAGCCGCGGUAAUACGAAGGGGGCUAGCGUUGUUCGGAAUUACUGGGCGUAAAGCGCACGUAGGCGGACAUUUAAGUCAGGGGUGAAAUCCCGGGGCUCAACCCCGGAACUGCCUUUGAUACUGCGUGUCUUGAGUGAGGUUGAAGUAGCUGGAAUAAGUAGUGUAGCGGUGAAAUGCAUAGAUAUUACUUAGAACACCAAUUGCGAAGGCAGGUUACUAAGUCUCAACUGACGCUGAUGGACGAAAGCGUGGGGAGCGAACAGGAUUAGAUACCCUGGUAGUCCACGCUGUAAACGAUGCUAACUCGUUUUUGGGGAUUUAUCUUCAGAGACUAAGCGAAAGUGAUAAGUUAGCCACCUGGGGAGUACGAACGCAAGUUUGAAACUCAAAGGAAUUGACGGGGGCCCGCACAAGCGGUGGAUUAUGUGGUUUAAUUCGAUGAUACGCGAGGAACCUUACCAAGGCUUAAAUGGGAAUUGAUCGGUUUAGAAAUAGACCUUCCUUCGGGCAAUUUUCAAGGUGCUGCAUGGGUUGUCGUCAGCUCGUGCCGUGAGGUGUUAGGUUAAGUCCUGCAACGAGCGCAACCCCUGUCACUAGUUGCCAUCAUUCAGUUGGGGACUCUAGUGAGACUGCCUACGCAAGUAGAGAGGAAGGUGGGGAUGACGUCAAAUCAUCACGGCCCUUACGCCUGGGCCCCCCGUAAUACAAUGGCCG
Molecule: ribosomal RNA, 1139 nt
Filed under: uncultured Chryseobacterium sp.
Lineage: Bacteria; Pseudomonadati; Bacteroidota; Flavobacteriia; Flavobacteriales; Weeksellaceae
Description: bacterial SSU rRNA
Rfam family: Bacterial small subunit ribosomal RNA
Source: RNAcentral